Molecule: unclassified non-coding RNA, 222 nt
Filed under: uncultured Serendipitaceae
Lineage: Eukaryota; Fungi; Basidiomycota; Agaricomycetes; Sebacinales; Serendipitaceae
Description: sequence contains ITS2
Source: RNAcentral
UAUUCUCACCCCUCGCAACUUUGUUAUGAGGUCGGUGGACUUGGACGUCUGCUGUGGUCAAACACGGCUCGUCUCAAAUGCAUGAGUGUGACCCCCCUUUGUACGGUGUCAUCUAGUGUGAUAAGCAUCUUCACUGGAGUAUCUUGGAUGGGCAGUGUCCGUCCGAGAGCAUCGUUGGGGUGUGGUGAUGCCGCAAACCGUCUCUCCGAGACAUACUUGACA